GACGAACGCUGGCGGCGUGCUUAACACAUGCAAGUCGAACGAUGAAGCUGGAGCUUGCUCUGGCGGAUUAGUGGCGAACGGGUGAGUAACACGUGAGAAAUCUGCCCUUGACUCUGGGAUAACUGCGGGAAACUGUAGCUAAUACCGGAUACUUUCCCUGGUGGGCAUCCACUGGGGAAGAAAGAAUUUCGGUCAAGGAUGAUCUCGCGGCCUAUCAGCUUGUUGGUGAGGUAAAGGCUCACCAAGGCGACGACGGGUAGCCGGCCUGAGAGGGUGACCGGCCACACUGGGACUGAGACACGGCCCAGACUCCUACGGGAGGCAGCAGUGGGGAAUAUUGCACAAUGGGCGCAAGCCUGAUGCAGCAACGCCGCGUGAGGGAUGACGGCCUUCGGGUUGUAAACCUCUUUUAGCAGGGAAGAAGCGAAAGUGACGGUACCUGCAGAAAAAGCACCGGCUAACUACGUGCCAGCAGCCGCCGCAG
This 484-nucleotide ribosomal RNA is filed under the name uncultured bacterium. Its description in RNAcentral is "partial 16S ribosomal RNA". It matches the Rfam family "Bacterial small subunit ribosomal RNA", at positions 28 to 523 of the family's 1533-position model. The record is from RNAcentral.